AAAUGGCUAUCGAGGAGGUAGGGCUUACGCUUGCGUUUGUCUGUUAUAUCUCGGUAGACGAGUAGUCGCGGUUGGGACUGAGGUGCCUACAACGUGCUUUUGAGUGGGCUUGGGUUUCCGUGUGCGCCGUGUGCGGAUAGCUUGCUAUGCGUGUGUGGUUGUGUGUGGAUUAAUGCGAGUCGUAACUUGUAGCCGUUCGGGACGUUGACGAAAUGGAGCGAUUUGACCCGUCUUGAAACACGGACCAAGGAGUCUAACAUAUGUGCAAGUGUUAGGGUGUAGAAACCCCAGCGCGCAAUGAAAGUAAAAGACAGCGUAAGUUGUCUUAGGUAGGAAAUGCUGUGGGCUUCGGUCUGCGGUGUGGCACUAUCGACCGAUCAUGAACCUUCGUGGUGAAAGAUUUGAGUUUGAGCACAUAUGUUGGUACCCGAAAGAUGGUGAACUAUGCCUGAGUAGGGUGAAGCCAGGGGAAACUCUGGUGGAAGCUCGUAGCGAUUCUGACGUGCAAAUCGAUCGUCGAACUUGGGUAUAGGGGCGAAAGACUAAUCGAACCAUCUAGUAGCUGGUUCCCUCCGAAAUUUCCCUCAGGAUAGCAGCAACUUAUUUACGAUAGUUUUAUGAGGUAAAGCGAAUGAUUAGAGGAUUCGGGGAAGAAACUUCCUCGACCUAUUCUC
RNAcentral lists this ribosomal RNA (674 nucleotides) under Plasmopara majewskii. Its description in RNAcentral is "LSU rRNA". It matches the Rfam family "Eukaryotic large subunit ribosomal RNA", at positions 432 to 1059 of the family's 3401-position model. Lineage: Eukaryota; Oomycota; Peronosporomycetes; Peronosporales; Peronosporaceae. The record is from RNAcentral.